UACGAAGGGUGCAAGCGUUACUCGGAAUUACUGGGCGUAAAGCGUGCGUAGGUGGUUUGUUAAGUCUGAUGUGAAAGCCCUGGGCUCAACCUGGGAAUUGCAUUGGAUACUGGCAGGCUAGAGUGCGGUAGAGGAUGGCGGAAUUCCCGGUGUAGCAGUGAAAUGCGUAGAGAUCGGGAGGAACACCAGCGGCGAAGGCGGCGCUCUGGGCCGGUACUGACGCUGAGGAGCGAAAGCGUGGGGAUCAAACAGG
Molecule: ribosomal RNA, 253 nt
Filed under: uncultured bacterium
Lineage: Bacteria
Description: partial 16S ribosomal RNA
Rfam family: Bacterial small subunit ribosomal RNA
Source: RNAcentral